GAAUGCAAGAUUUUGUGCAAUACUUCUUUUAAUGCCUCUUUUGGUUAAAUGAACUGUGCUGUCAAAAGUACAAAAACAAGCAAAAUUACAUGAUCUAUUAACAUCUAGGUACAAAUCUAGAAAUCCUCUCCUUAAGAAAUGUUUUCUACAGYGUGCAUUUGUAAGAAGACAAGAAUGAGCUGAUGAAAAGGAGACAAUUUUUGUUAAUUUUUACUACUGUCAGAAAACAAAUUUGUUUAAAUGCUGAASAAAACUGCGAAGACAGAGAGCACGCUUUUUAUCACUUUCUGGAACAGUAAAUGAAGAUGUGUAAAUGAUGCUGCUAAACUCCGACUUCCAGGAUGCGGAAGACGUGGCUGCUUUUAGCAGUUCUGGCAGCUCCUACUGUAGGAGCACC
Molecule: long non-coding RNA, 397 nt
Organism: Nothoprocta perdicaria
Lineage: Eukaryota; Metazoa; Chordata; Aves; Tinamiformes; Tinamidae
Exons: 3
Source: RefSeq, a predicted model, not a curated record